UGAGGAAUUUUGGGCAAUGGGCGAAAGCCUGACCCAGCGACGCCGCGUGGAGGAUGAAGGCCUUCGGGUCGUAAACUCCUGUUCUGGGGGAAGAAGACGGGAUGCGUGAAGAAUUCAUCCCGCUGACGGUACCCCAGGAGAAAGCUCCGGCUAAUUACGUGCCAGCAGCCGCGGUAAUACGUAAGGAGCAAGCGUUGUCCGGAUUUACUGGGCGUAAAGAGCUCGUAGGCGGCCGAUCAGGUCUCGCGUAAAAUCCCCCGGCUCAAC
Molecule: ribosomal RNA, 267 nt
Filed under: uncultured bacterium
Lineage: Bacteria
Description: partial 16S ribosomal RNA
Rfam family: Bacterial small subunit ribosomal RNA
Source: RNAcentral